GAUGAACGCUGGCGGCGUGCCUAAUACAUGCAAGUCGAGCGAACAGACGAGGAGCUUGCUCCUCUGACGUUAGCGGCGGACGGGUGAGUAACACGUGGAUAACCUACCUAUAAGACUGGGAUAAAUUCGGGAAACCGGAGCUAAUACCGGAUAAUAUAUUGAACCGCAUGGUUCAAUAGUGAAAGACGGUUUUGCUGUCACUUAUAGAUAGAUCCGCGCCGCAUUAGCUAGGUGGUAAGGUAACGGCUUACCAAGGCGACGAUGCGUAGCCGACCUGAGAGGGUGACCGGCCACACUGGAACUGAGACACGGUCCAGACUCCUACGGGAGGAUGCAGUAGGGAAUCUUCCGCAAUGGGCGAAAGCCUGACGGAGCAACGCCGCGUGAGUGAUGAAGGUCUUCGGAUCGUAAAACUCUGUUAUUAGGGAAGAACAAAUGUGUAAGUAACUAUGCACGUCUUGACGGUACCUAAUCAGAAAGCCACGGCUAACUACGUG
RNAcentral lists this ribosomal RNA (497 nucleotides) under uncultured bacterium. RNAcentral describes it as "partial 16S ribosomal RNA". It matches the Rfam family "Bacterial small subunit ribosomal RNA", at positions 28 to 507 of the family's 1533-position model. The record is from RNAcentral.